RNAcentral lists this ribosomal RNA (423 nucleotides) under uncultured archaeon. RNAcentral's name for it is "partial 16S ribosomal RNA". It matches the Rfam family "Archaeal small subunit ribosomal RNA", at positions 323 to 746 of the family's 1478-position model. The record is from RNAcentral.
CUACGGGAGGCUGCAGUUAAGGAACUUUUGCAAUGCGCGCAAGCGUGACAUAGCAAGCCAGAGUGUUUCUCUAUUUUGAGAAACUUUUGCUAAAUCUAAAAAUUUUGGCGAAUAAGGACUGGGAGAGACUGGUGCCAGCCGCCGCGGUAAUACCAGCGGUCCAAGUCGCAGCCACAUCUAUUGGGUCUAAAACAUUCGUAGCUUGUCUUACAAGUCUUUUGUGAAAUCCUGUAUCUCAAGUACAGGGCGGGCAAAAGAUACUGUAAGGCUAGAGACCGGAGGAUGUAAGGAGUACGGUUGGGGUAGUGGUAAAAUACGUUAAUCCCAACUGGACUAACAAUAGCGAAGGCACCUUACAACGACGGAUCUGACAGUGAGGGAUGAAGGCUAGGGUCGCAAAACGGAUUAGAUACCCCAGUAGUC